AUUGAACGCUGGCGGCAGGCCUAACACAUGCAAGUCGAGCGGUAGCACAGAGAGCUUGCUCUCGGGUGACGAGCGGCGGACGGGUGAGUAAUGUCUGGGAAACUGCCUGAUGGAGGGGGAUAACUACUGGAAACGGUAGCUAAUACCGCAUAACGUCGCAAGACCAAAGAGGGGGACCUUCGGGCCUCUUGCCAUCAGAUGUGCCCAGAUGGGAUUAGCGAGUAGGUGGGGUAACGGCUCACCUAGGCGACGAUCCCUAGCUGGUCUGAGAGGAUGACCAGCCACACUGGAACUGAGACACGGUCCAGACUCCUACGGGAGGCAGCAGUGGGGAAUAUUGCACAAUGGGCGCAAGCCUGAUGCAGCCAUGCCGCGUGUAUGAAGAAGGCCUUCGGGUUGUAAAGUACUUUCAGCGGGGAGGAAGGUGUUGAGGUUAAUAACCCCAGCAAUUGACGUUACCCGCAGAAGAAGCACCGGCUAACUCCGUGCCAGCCGCCGCCGUAA
RNAcentral lists this ribosomal RNA (504 nucleotides) under uncultured bacterium. RNAcentral's name for it is "partial 16S ribosomal RNA". It matches the Rfam family "Bacterial small subunit ribosomal RNA", at positions 30 to 523 of the family's 1533-position model. The record is from RNAcentral.